UAUAUAUUAAUGUAAUAUGCAUUUGAAAUUUUGAUUUUUAAAGAAAAAGUUUGUAACUUUUAUAUAUAU
RNAcentral lists this transfer RNA (69 nucleotides) under Cerceris albofasciata. Its description in RNAcentral is "tRNA-Gln". Lineage: Eukaryota; Metazoa; Arthropoda; Insecta; Hymenoptera; Crabronidae. The record is from RNAcentral.